CGCUAUAUACGUAUAGCAUAUCAAUAAGCGGAGGAAAAGAAACUAACUAGGAUUCCCUCAGUAACGGCGAGUGAAGCGGGAAGAGCUCAAAUUUGAAAUCUUCAAGGUUCUACCUUGACGAAUUGUAGUUUAAAGAAGUGUUUUCUGUUGGAGUUUUGGUAAAAGUUCUUUGGAAUAGGACAUCAUAGAGGGUGAGAAUCCCGUAUUUGACCAUUAUUUCCAACUUUGUGAUACACUUUCAAAGAGUCGGAUUGUUUGGGAAUGCAGUCCAAAAUGGGUGGUAAAUUUCAUCUAAAGCUAAAUACUGGCGAGAGACCGAUAGCGAACAAGUACCGUGAGGGAAAGAUGAAAAGAACUUUGAAAAGAGAGUUAAACAGUACGUGAAAUUGUCAAAAGGGAAGCGUUUGACACCAGUGUUGUUUUCUCGAAAAUCAAUUAAAAAUGGCGGGAUUUUGUGUUGUAUUGACUUUAUCAGCUUUCUGCACUUUUUUCCUGUCUUUUUUAAUGCACUUUUCGUUUAACAAGUCAACAUCAAUUUCUUUUGUUGUAAAAGGGUCAUUGGAAGGUGGCUUUCUUUUCGGAGAAAGUGUUUAUAGCCUUUGACUUCUGCAAUCGGAGAGAUUGAGGUCUGCAGCGUAGAUCCUUCUGGAUUAGAUUCAUUUGUGCUAAGUUAUAGCCUUUCUAUAGACAACAUUGUUGACUAUGAUCAGUCAUGUAGCUUACUCGCUUGCAUGUUAUUUUACCUACGCUUAGGAUGUUGACGAUCAGCUGAGCGCG
This 777-nucleotide ribosomal RNA is filed under the name uncultured Neocallimastigales. RNAcentral's name for it is "partial large subunit ribosomal RNA". It matches the Rfam family "Eukaryotic large subunit ribosomal RNA", at positions 26 to 628 of the family's 3401-position model. The record is from RNAcentral. Lineage: Eukaryota; Fungi; Neocallimastigomycota; Neocallimastigomycetes; Neocallimastigales.